GAUGAACGCUAGCGGCAGGCCUAAUACAUGCAAGUCGAACGGUAGAGGGGGCAACCCCUUGAGAGUGGCGAACGGGUGAGUAAUGCAUCAGAACGUGCCCAGUCGUGGGGGAUAACGCAGCGAAAGCUGUGCUAAUACCGCAUACGAUCUUUGGAUGAAAGCGGGGGACCGAAAUGCCGCGCGCGAUUGGAGCGGCCGAUGUCAGAUUAGGUAGUUGGUGGGGUAAAGGCCUACCAAGCCAACGAUCUGUAGCUGGUCUGAGAGGACGACCAGCCACACUGGGACUGAGACACGGCCCAGACUCCUACGGGAGGCAGCAGUGGGGAAUUUUGGACAAUGGGCGCAAGCCUGAUCCAGCAAUGCUGCGUGCAGGAAGAAGGCCUUCGGGUUGUAAACUGCUUUUGUACGGAACGAAACGGUCUGGGUUAAUACCCUGGGCUAAUGACGGUACCGUAAGAAUAAGCACCGGCUAACUACGUGCCAGCAGCCGCCGUAA
This 496-nucleotide ribosomal RNA is filed under the name uncultured bacterium. RNAcentral's name for it is "partial 16S ribosomal RNA". It matches the Rfam family "Bacterial small subunit ribosomal RNA", at positions 28 to 523 of the family's 1533-position model. The record is from RNAcentral.